This 77-nucleotide transfer RNA is filed under the name Bacteroidales bacterium. RNAcentral's name for it is "tRNA-Pro". It matches the Rfam family "tRNA". From Rfam's summary of the family: Transfer RNA (tRNA) molecules are approximately 80 nucleotides in length. Their secondary structure includes four short double-helical elements and three loops (D, anti-codon, and T loops). Further hydrogen bonds mediate the characteristic L-shaped molecular structure. tRNAs have two regions of fundamental functional importance: the anti-codon, which is responsible for specific mRNA codon recognition, and the 3' end, to which the tRNAs corresponding amino acid is attached (by aminoacyl-tRNA synthetases). tRNAs cope with the degeneracy of the genetic code in two manners: having more than one tRNA (with a specific anti-codon) for a particular amino acid; and 'wobble' base-pairing, i.e. permitting non-standard base-pairing at the 3rd anti-codon position. The record is from RNAcentral. Lineage: Bacteria; Pseudomonadati; Bacteroidota; Bacteroidia; Bacteroidales.
CGGGGUGUAGCGCAGUUGGCUAGCGCGCCACGUUCGGGACGUGGAGGCCGAAGGUUCGAGUCCUUUCACCCCGACCA